AUUGAACGCUGGCGGCAUGCCUUACACAUGCAAGUCGAACGGCAGCGCGGGGCAACCUGGCGGCGAGUGGCGAACGGGUGAGUAAUAUAUCGGAACGUACCCUGGAGUGGGGGAUAACGUAGCGAAAGUUACGCUAAUACCGCAUACGAUCUAAGGAUGAAAGUGGGGGAUCGCAAGACCUCAUGCUCCUGGAGCGGCCGAUAUCUGAUUAGCUAGUUGGUGGGGUAAAGGCCUACCAAGGCAUCGAUCAGUAGCUGGUCUGAGAGGACGACCAGCCACACUGGAACUGAGACACGGUCCAGACUCCUACGGGAGGCAGCAGUGGGGAAUUUUGGACAAUGGGCGAAAGCCUGAUCCAGCAAUGCCGCGUGAGUGAAGAAGGCCUUCGGGUUGUAAAGCUCUUUUGUCAGGGAAGAAACGGUGAGGGCUAAUAUCCCUUGCUAAUGACGGUACCUGAAGAAUAAGCACCGGCUAACUACGUGC
Molecule: ribosomal RNA, 483 nt
Filed under: Zoogloea sp. S21111
Lineage: Bacteria; Pseudomonadati; Pseudomonadota; Betaproteobacteria; Rhodocyclales; Zoogloeaceae
Also listed under: 1 other name
Description: bacterial SSU rRNA
Rfam family: Bacterial small subunit ribosomal RNA
Source: RNAcentral